AACAGCCGGUUGGGAGGGGGGGAGGGGCAGAUGAUUUCCGCCCCUCCCCCGGUCAGUUAACCCCACGGAGCCCGGGUCACAGCGAGCCGCCCCAAGCGAAGGUGGGGUGAACCCUGCCACCCGGGACUCCUGGGUCCAAUUCCUGCCGGGAGCCGAGAGCGAUGGGGCCCCUCCCGGACUCUUGGGGCCCCUCCCGAUUUCUUCCCCAGAGAACCCGGACGCCUGGGUCCCCUUCCCGAUCUUCCUUUCUCCCCCGGGACAGCUGAGGAAGUUCUGGGGGGUCCUUUCCGGACGCCUGGGUCCCCUUCCCCAUGCCGGUGUCUUCCUCAGCUGACCCGGACGCCUGGGUCCCUUUCCCCAUGCCGGCCUCUCCGCCCCGGCCGUGAAAGCGUUAAGGCGGAGGGAUGGGGGGAAGGGAUCCCGCCCGCUCGCUGCGGCCAGGCACCAGGGCGGAGAAGCUACAAUCUCGGUCUUCCCCGAGCUGGAGCCGCCAGACAGACAGACGGACAGACGGACGGACAGACAGACAGACGGACAGCCGGGUGUGGGAUGGACACAUAGAUAGAGGGCCUGGCGAAGAGCCCCCCCCACCCACCGAAUCUCCUGAAGAUCCCCGCUUCUGCACCCCCAAAGUUCCCUGAGAGGGGCCCCUCCCUCUUUGCCUUCAGGACUUUCCGAGUAGUCCCUAAAGGGGGACAUUGGCCCCCAGAGAGGGGGAGGGGAGCCAGUUAACCCUUUCACUCCCAGGCGGGGGAGCCAGGGAAGGGGUGA
Long non-coding RNA from Mauremys reevesii (Reeves's turtle), 771 nucleotides. RefSeq lists it as uncharacterized. The record is from RefSeq and is a predicted model, not a curated record. Lineage: Eukaryota; Metazoa; Chordata; Testudines; Geoemydidae. The transcript has 3 exons.